Molecule: RNA transcript, 6702 nt
Organism: Aedes albopictus (Asian tiger mosquito)
Lineage: Eukaryota; Metazoa; Arthropoda; Insecta; Diptera; Culicidae
Gene: Adcy8
Gene name: adenylyl cyclase 78C
Exons: 14
Source: RefSeq, a predicted model, not a curated record
GAAUUUGGUUUCUCACAGUCAGUCAUCGAUUCAGUGUGGUGCAGAAGCAGAGGAUUUGUGGACUGCCGCGUCGUCGGUCUGCCGGCGCUUCGAGGACGGUGAUGGUUUGGUUGGAAGCGUUCUUCUGAAUCAGUUCGUUAGAAGCGCGCGUGGUGUUUGGACGUGAACAGAGCUUGGCUGCGGUGUUUUCUUCUGGUGGAUCUGUCUGAACGCGCCAGUUGGUGAGCUGGUUGUUGCAACAAGCUCAAGUGAUUACAGUGAUAGAACAGUUGUGCAUCAGUGUGGUGUGGUUGUGCGGCUUUCGUUUGGAUAGUGUGCUUCACUGCGGUCAUCCAGCUCCUGACGAGGUGUCCUCUGCCAAGGCCUGCUGAACAAAGUGAUCAAUUUGCGUUUCCACACGCUCCGCGGCGGUGGAUGGUGUGGUGUAGUGCUAUUGUAAUCGUAGUUCGUUGUUGUUAGUGUCGCUUUAACGACCGACCGGCGGCGGCAGCAGCAGGACCAUCAUAACUCGGUUGGCUGGACCGAGCACAGCGGGAAAUCGAAAGUGUUCGCGUUAAGGGAUUUUGUCGCAGAGAUAAAGUGUUGCAGUGAGCUGGAAAAGCCUCAGUUUUGGAGUUUGAACAAUUCGUCCAGCAAAAUUGAAAGUACAGUAUUUGCAGUUAGUGUUUGUUCAUAUAAACGUAUAUAUUGUAAACUAGAUGCAAACCAUCAAAAACUGUGCCGGAACUAUCAUAAAGCCGUGAAUACGUUGGUAGUAAGCAAAUUCCAUACAGUGACUGACAGUGACAUAGCAAAAAUAUCUCACACGUCGCAUCGUUGGAAAGGACUCAAAGCUGGUGUUCGUCGUCAGUGCUCUGUCAGUGUGAUGCUGCCCACAUUUUAAUUACAUACGGAAGGGUCAUAGUGAAUGAGCCAAAUUGCCAAUUCCGGCUCUUUCAGAAGAGUAGAACCGGAGAAGCUACAUGCCAAAGUGUAACUCUAAAUAAUAAUAAUCAAUGUUAUAAGUGUGGCUCUCUGUGUGUGAUGUGAAAAGAACGAGUUCAAAUUGGGAGCCCGAUUUAAUAAAUGAUGUGCCAUAAAAUGUGUGCGUAUAGUAGAGUGAGGCUGGAAUCUCAUUAUCCCACCCGGGCUGUCAUCAUCGUGGUCCAGCAUAUGAAUUUGUACGGUUCUUGUGCGCUGGCUGACUGGAUCUGUUUGAAUAGUGCUCGUUUCCUCCUCUGUUCGGGGUGUUAAAAGUGCAAAUAGUAGAAAAAAAAAACAAGCAUCCGACAGCGAGUGAACAAAAGUUAAACUAAUAUUGGAUGAAAAAAUAGUCGGUGCCGACGCAGCGCAGGUGGAUGCAAUUUCGCGACCAUUCAUAAGUGUGAAUUUUGCUAUCUCACGUCGCCGUCGACGAAGCUGGGUGCAUCAUUCCUCGCCUCGUGUGGCGUGGCUCCGUUGGAUAAUCGCUACACUACUGCAACAUUGAAUCAACUUGGCGUGGCUAGAAGCGGGGAGCUUUCUGGACAAGGCAACAUUACAUCACUUAUGAACACAUCACUGUAGCAGAUCACCAAUCAUGGAACUACUAGUUUCGAGAAACGCUAACCAACCCGAAUCGAACCAGUCAUCGAUCGCUCGUCGCCCGAGCAACAGUAGCGGAAUUAUCAACCCAGCAGCCACAUUAGAUCUGGAUGACACUGGUAGCAUUAUCAGCGACAUCUCGAAAAUCCCCCGUGUUCCAGGCGACGGAGCCCAGGCAGAAGAUGUGGACCACUGCAGUACGGCCAAUUUGGAAUUGCGUAAACAGGAACGGUUGCCAACGUUAGCCCUACAACAGCAACAGCAGCAGCAGGAUGAACGAUGCCAAUCCCUGACAAAGAUUAGCAAUGGAGAUUUGUGCAAACCGUCCGAAGCUCGAGUAUCUCCAUCGUCGGUGGAUCAUCAGCAGAAACCGGCGAACGGUGUAACCACACCAGUCACGACCGUGGCGGCGGCGGCGGCGGCGACGACGACCGACGAUAGCAACGGGCAAUGUGGUCCCCCACCAGGCGGAGGAGUAACCUGCGGUGCUGGCGAUGGAGGCGGCGGCGGAGGCAGCGGUGGAGAUGGUAACCCACCCAACACGCUGCCACCCCUCAGCAGUAACACCUACUCGGCUUUCAAGCGGGGCAACGUAAUCAAGGGCAUUCUGUGUCCCUCGAUGACCAACUCGUUUCGGGCGCCGUCCCUCGAGCGUUCCUAUCUGACCUACUCCCACCGGCAGCGGCAAAAGUCGCUCAUCCUCGUCAACGUGGUCGAUCUGGUGCUCAAGAUAGUGCUGGCUUCCGUCUGGAUCGGGUUCAACCAUCCGCAGACAAUCAAACCCCACGAAAUCACCUGGUCGGUGUGCUGUGUCAUCUCGAACUUUUUGAUCUGCGUCCUCGGCAGUUGGCGGCUGUUCGCCAACAACUAUCUCCACUGGGCCGCGGUUUGCACCUGGCUGCUGCUGAAUCUGCAGGGUUUCAUCGGCGAGGGGCUGGGUUUUGCCGAGCGGGAGUACCUGAUUUGGUACGUGCUGUUCAUCAUCUUUGUGCCGUACGCGAUGCUUCCGUUGCCGCUGAAAUGGUGCAUGAUUGCCGGCUCGGUGUCGGCCAUUUGUCAUCUGAUAGUGACGACCAUCAACAAAUUUCUGCACGAGACGGACACCACCUGCAUCGUCCGCCAGAUGAUUGCCAACUCGCUGCUCUAUCUGGCGAUCAACUUUGCCGGGAUGUACACCAAGUAUCUGACCGACCGUGGUCAGCGGUUGGCCUUCAUCGAAACGCACAAAGCCAUGGAGCACAAACGUGAAUCGGAAAAGGAGUAUCAACGGACGCAACGGCUACUCGACUCCAUUCUUCCGAUGUUCGUCAACAAUGACAUCCGCAAGGAGAUGUACAAAUCGCCGGAGCAGCCCCAGGUGGACACCCAGUUCAAGAAGCUCUACAUCUACCACAUGGACAACGUGAGCAUCCUGUUUGCCGACAUCAAAGGUUUCACCGAGUUGGCCAGCAAAACAUCGGCCCAACAGUUGGUCAAGGUGCUGAAUGAUCUGUUUGCCCGGUUCGACAAGAUCGCCGAAGAUAACCACUGUCUUAGGAUUAAGCUGCUGGGCGAUUGUUACUAUUGUGUUUCGAUGUUCGACAGUCAAAGUUGGAAAAGCCGACCGGAUCAUGCGGUGUGUAGCGUGGAGACGGGACUGCAUAUGAUAAAGGCGAUCAAGGACGUCCGCGUUCAAACCAAUGUGGUUGAUCUAGAUAUGCGAAUCGGCAUUCACAGUGGAUCCGUUAUGUGUGGAGUCCUAGGAGAAAAGAAGUGGCACUUUGACGUGUGGUCCAACGAUGUGAUAAUUGCCAACCACAUGGAAUCGGGAGGAGUUCCCGGGCGGGUGCACAUAUCGGAAGCCACGCUAAAUUGUUUGAACGACACCUACGAAGUCGAACCCGGGAACGGGGCCAGUCGGGAUAGUCACCUAAAGAUGAUGAACAUCAAGACAUAUCUUAUCAAGCGGACCGAACCGCUGAGGCCGAGGAAAAGACUGAUGAAUCGAAUGAGUACGCUACAGUUCGAGAAAGAGACUAUCAAUAAGAUUAACGAUCCGAGGUAUCGGAAGGACUCGAAGACACCAAGUGUCGCUUCUAGUGGAACUAAUAACAAUAACCAUAUCACGAAACGUAGCUCCAAAUCGACAAUACACGAGGACGAAACAACAACGGACUGGACGCCGGAGAUUCCAUUUGGGAACUUGAACCAAGUGGGGGUCAACGCUGCCGAAAGUUUUCGAGACAAGCAGAACUAUGACACAGAAGACACAAUCCCUUCGACGGAAGAAGUGGACGACAUCAUUGAUCAGAAUAUACAGAUCAACUCGAACAAACAAAUGCGAGAGGAAUACCUCUACACGUGGACGCUCAAGUUCAAGGAUUCAUCUCAAGAGGGAACAUUCUGUCAACUCCGGGAAGACAUGUUCCGAUCCAAUAUGUUGUGUGUUUUUGUUGUUUGGAUAUUUAUCGUGCUAUGCCAGGCUGUGAUCAUUCCCAAAUGCACGAUCCUCAUAGUCUCCCUGUCGAUCACGACAUUCGUGCUGACGAUCGGUUGUGUCCUAGUAAUGGCCGAAGAGUUCUCUACGCUUCCAGAGUUUCUGCAGAAAAGUUCUUCCACUUUAGUGCACGAUCGCAAGCGCCGAACGAUCUUCGUUUGCAUAACGAUCAUCCUUAUGUCCGCCGCUAGCUCGAUGGGUCUGAUCAUGUGCGAUCUCGACGAGCCGGUCACCACUGCAGAAACCAUCCACAAAGAACCAGCCAUCGCAUAUCUCCAGAUACCUGGAUCUAAACAGGAACUACAACUCAAUCUCACCGUAACAGCUACGAUCAAUCAAAACCUGAUCCUCAACUCGCACAAGAGCGUAAACCUUGAUCUAGAGGCCCUACUAACCGAACAGAACAAAACCCUGAAAGAUCUCGACGAGCAGGAGCUCAAAUCCCUCGGACUCAUUCCCACCUACAUUGAUCUUCCACUGAACUACAAAAUCUCUUCCCCAAAUACAUCUGAUGAUCCUUUCCACGACACCAUCCCUAGACACCCGCACACCACUCUCACCAGCCUCGAUCCAUACGGCCUCCCCGUUUGCGUCCACCCGGAAUACGUAGUCUUCACCUGGGUGCUCUGCCUCAUCUCCCUUGCCACGGCCCUCAAACUCUACUACCUCGUGAAAACCUUCAUGGCCAUCACCAUGGUCGCAUGCUAUUCGAUCCUGAUCCUACUGGUGUUCAACGAGGUCUUCGAAACGUACGACAUCCAGUUCAUGCAAGCCAGCGGAAUGCCCCUAGCCGCCCAGAUGAUGAUUCUGCUGGUCGUGUUCCUAACCAUGGUCACCUACCAUGCCCGCCUAGUCGAAGUCACCUCCCGUUUGGAUUUCAUCUGGAAGGAGCAAGCGGAAAAGGAACUGUCCAACAUGAAAUCCAACCGGCAUCUGAACGAUCUGCUGAUCAAGAACAUCCUCCCCGAUCAUGUAGCGUCCUAUUACCUCUCGGAGGAACGGGCCGACGAGCUGUACGCCCAGAUGCACGAACUGUGCGGGGUGAUGUUUGCUUCGAUCCCGAACUUCAAGGACUUCUACUCGGAGGACAUUGAGAAUGGGAAAGCGUGCAUUCGGAUCCUGAACGAAAUCAUUUCCGAUUUCGACUCGCUGCUGGAGGAGGAGCGGUUCAAGACGGUCGAGAAGAUUAAGACGGUGGGGGCGACCUACAUGGCGGCGUCCAAUCUGCGCUCCGGGAAUAAGACCAAAGUGGACGAAAAGGACGAAGAGGCCGUGUGCGAUCUGGUUGAAUUUGCCUUGGCCAUGCGGCAGAAGCUACAGGAGGUCAACAAGGACGCUUUCAACACGUUCCAGCUGAGGGUUGGCAUCAGCAGUGGUCCACUGGUAAGCGGAGUUAUUGGAGCCCGAAAACCCGUGUACGACAUCUGGGGAAAUACGGUGAACGUGGCGUCCAGGAUGGACUCCACCGGAGAGAACUGGAAGGUCCAGGUUCCGGACUAUACGGCAGCACUGCUGCAGACCAAGGGGUACACGUGUGUGCAACGUGGAGAGGUGAACGUGAAGGGAAAGGGUCUCAUGUUGACCUAUUGGGUGCUCGGUAUGAAUGUUUCCGCCAGUCAAUUAACCUCGCCGGCACUGAUGCCUGCCGGAGUGCCGCAGGUCCAGACGCCGUCCCUACAGAGACAAAUCUCUCAGCACAGCUCUCUUGCGGCAGUAGUUUUUGGUAUGAUGCAAGCGUCCAAGAGGAGCAACCAUAACACAACUCACAAAUGUGGCUGGAGUCGUGCUAAAAACUUGACCGUCAAUAAGAUGCGUUUGCUGGCACCCAACCGCAACGCCUUCGCCGAAAACCCGGUUCGGGCGACGGGGAAGCACAUUCAGCUCAGUGAGAUUGAGUCAGAAAGUGCAGUCUAAUAAUCCGAUCCGACGGAACACAACCCGGGUGCGGGGUCGGAGUUACACCAUGAAGAAGCCAACCAUCCCUCAUUCGCCGUCGGUGCAGAUUCCGACCUGUACCACGCCGGACAACAAUGUGAUACCAUCCUUCCUGCAGCUGCAUCAGAACGUCAAAGAGGAACAGACUGGAGUGUAAAUGGAAGAAAAUCUAAGAGAUAGAGAAAGAGAGAGCGAGAGUUGUAACUAUUUUUUAUUGUACCGGAAUCUACAAAUUUUUCGCUAGACGCCGACUGCCACUUUCCACGAAGAGGGAAGAGGCAUCCAGGCAGAAAUUAGCACACUAGAGAAAGUGACAAACGUAGCCAAAUAUUGUAUUCUAGUCAUGAACAAGCCAGAACAAAUAGAAAGUCAAAUACACAACAACUUUUACUGUUAUACUAACUGCACAAACCAUUUCUAAACCAAUAGAUAAGUUGUACUGUAUUGCAGGUCGAUCAAAUUUUAAUCAAAAUUCAGACUAAACUAUUGAAAUCUAGCCAUCAAUCAAGAUCAAAAAACAACAAUUCAAUAGAUUGCAGUUACAAAACAUAGUGGUUACAUUGGACAAAAAAAAACAAUCUAGUGACAAGACACCUAAAUGUGAUUCUAAAUGUAUUACCUUUCAGUUGAAGGACUGUAUUUGCUGUACUUAUGAAGUAUGAUCUAAACAAAUAAAAGAAAGCUAUAUGGAAUCAACAACUGUUAUGCCAAAAUGCAAUGAAGAAAAA